RNAcentral lists this ribosomal RNA (496 nucleotides) under uncultured bacterium. Its description in RNAcentral is "bacterial SSU rRNA". It matches the Rfam family "Bacterial small subunit ribosomal RNA", at positions 61 to 550 of the family's 1533-position model. The record is from RNAcentral.
GUCGAACGGCAGCGGGGGAGCUUGCUCCUGCCGGCGAGUGGCGAACGGGUGAGUAAUGCAUCGGAACGUGUCCUGUUGUGGGGGAUAACUGAUCGAAAGAUCAGCUAAUACCGCAUGAGACCUGAGGGUGAAAGCGGGGGAUCGCAAGACCUCGCGCGACAGGAGCGGCCGAUGUCUGAUUAGCUAGUUGGUGAGAUAAAAGCUUACCAAGGCGACGAUCAGUAGCUGGUCUGAGAGGAUGAUCAGCCACAUUGGGACUGAGACACGGCCCAGACUCCUACGGGAGGCAGCAGUGGGGAAUUUUGGACAAUGGGGGAAACCCUGAUUCAGCCAUGCCGCGUGCGGGAUGAAGGCCUUCGGGUUGUAAACCGCUUUUGUCAGAGACGAAAAGGGACGUACGAAUAAUACGUUCCGCUGACGGUAUCUGAAGAAUAAGCACCGGCUAACUACGUGCCAGCAGCCGCGGUAAUACGUAGGGUGCAAGCGUUAAUCGGAA